GACGAACGCUGGCGGCGUGCUUAACGCAUGCAAGUCGAGCGGAAAGGCCACUUCGGUGGUACUCGAGCGGCGAACGGGUGAGUAACACGUGAGUAAUCUGCCCCUGGCUUUGGGAUAGCCAUCGGAAACGGUGAUUAAUACCGGAUACGACCACUUCUCGCAUGGGAUGGUGGUGGAAAGUUUUUUCGGCCAGGGAUGUGCUCGCGGCCUAUCAGCUUGAUGGUGAGGUAAUGGCUCACCAUGGCUUCGACGGGUAGCCGGCCUGAGAGGGUGACCGGUCACACUGGGACUGAGACACGGCCCAGACUCCUACGGGAGGCAGCAGUGGGGAAUAUUGGACAAUGGGCAGAAGCCUGAUCCAGCAACGCCGCGUGAGGGAUGACGGCCUUCGGGUUGUAAACCUCUUUCAGCAGGGACGAAGCGCAAGUGACGGUACCUGCAGAAGAAGCACCGGCCAACUACGUGCCAGCCGCCGCCGUAA
RNAcentral lists this ribosomal RNA (481 nucleotides) under uncultured bacterium. RNAcentral's name for it is "partial 16S ribosomal RNA". It matches the Rfam family "Bacterial small subunit ribosomal RNA", at positions 28 to 523 of the family's 1533-position model. The record is from RNAcentral.